UUUCCUCCUCAAACCCUAAGAUGGGGUCAACAAUUCUUGUGCUGUUUCUUUUCAUUUCAUAUGCUGGAGCCAUUUCAACCUCUGAUUUCCAGAUAUUCUCCACUUCAGAAAGCAGAGCCUUAAACCACAGCAAUGUGCAGACGCAUCAGGAGUUUCUGGAGAGAUUAUCGUAUAGAAGCAUGAAGGACAAGAACUGGUUGGGCAGAAGUUGAGGAAAGGAAAAAUGAGAUAUCUGAUACUCUACGAAAAGCACAUGGAAGUGGAGGAAGGGGAGCACCUUCUGGUUCUGGUAGUGCAAAUAUUAAUCGUCGUCCUCCCACUCGCAACUCUGCAACUUCAUUAUUACAAGCAACAUCUUUGUGGGGCUCAUAUUUAACUCUUUCUGUAGCAAGCUUCGCUUUGAUCUUCGUUUUCCUCUUCCGCUAACUGUUUGGGGGUGUUUCUAAGGAAGAAAUCUUUCUGUCAUAUGGCGAUUUUGUUUGUUUAUUGCUUCUAUUGUUUGCGUUUUUCUUUUUAUGAUCCUCCGGGAGCAUCUUUGUUUGUCACUUGGCAAUUUGAUUCCCCUCUUUAAAAUUUCCAGAAUUUUCUUGUGGAAGUUGUAAUCUUUCAUAUAUGAAUAGGUGCUUGAACCUCUCAUUUCUGCC
Molecule: long non-coding RNA, 644 nt
Organism: Neltuma alba
Lineage: Eukaryota; Viridiplantae; Streptophyta; Magnoliopsida; Fabales; Fabaceae
Exons: 2
Source: RefSeq, a predicted model, not a curated record